UGCCUUCCUAACUUAUCACCUUGCUUGGGUGUCCCAACUAUCAUGAAAUCCAUUUAUCUUUUUUAUUAAUUUGAAUAUGGAUAAAAAAUGUUUUGUUCUUAUGUCACAUGCAACAACACGGACAAAGACAAUCGUAUUUGUACCCAUUUCCGUUUUAUUAAUUUCCAAAUGAACAAAAUAUGUUAGUUGUUUUGGUUUUUUUAUUAUAAUAAUA
This is a non-coding RNA of Cinara cedri, 214 nucleotides long. NCBI's taxonomy places the organism in Eukaryota, Metazoa, Arthropoda, Insecta, Hemiptera, Aphididae. The record is from the annotation of a GenBank genome assembly.